AGAAAAAUGGCAGAAAAAUAAAAGACGGACAUCAAAGUAUUUUUCAAUACACCAAAACGCAUAGUAAGAACCCUAGUAGCCUAAUAUCUCAAAGACUAGUUGAUAAAAUGUUCAUAAGAAAGAAAUGAAAUUCUAAUGGAAAUGUUUCACAAUGAUGUCAUUAGGCAGAGCAGGCAACAGAUGGCACACAGACAGCAGAGUUCGGGACAGAUAUGCAGGGACAGACUGGCAGAGACAGGGAGUCUCAGGUAAGUUUGUUGAGUCUUUGUUUGGCAACAUUAUGAAAGGUUCUCAAUUUUUUUGACUUGUAAAAUAGGAACAUAAUUGGAAAAUGCCAUGGAUACCCCCACUCUCAACUUAAACUGGUGACUGAACUAAGAUUUGUUAAAGGCAAUGGUAUUGGUAUUGGUGUUGUGAUUAGUUGUGUAGUUUUGGGUACCGGUAGUUAGGAGUACGGCAAACACCUUAUUUCUUUGGUUCCUCAAUAUACAUUUACCAUAUUACAAUGUAGGCUAUGUGUUACAGCACUACUUUUGGUGUCCCCCUCAGGAAUUGCUCUUGAGAAAAUUUCAUGUAAUUGUCCCCUCCAAAGUUGAUAUCAGAUUUUCGCCCCUGGUCGUGGCCAAACGUUUUGAGAAUUACACAAAUAUUGUUUGUCCACCCGUCUCUUGAGGAUUGACCACAAGUUCUCAAUGGGAUUAAGGUCUGGGGAGCGUCCUGGCCAUGGACCCAAAAUAUCGAUGUGUUGUUCCCCGAGCCACUUAGUUAUCCCUUUUGCCUUAUGGCAAGGUGCUCCAUCAUGCUGGAAAAGGCAUUGUUCGUCACCAAACUGUUCCUGGAUGGUUGGGAGAAGUUACUCUCGGAGGAUGUGUUGGUACAUUUCUUUAUUUAUGGCUGUGAGUGAGCCCACUCCCUUGGCUGAGAAGCAACCCCACACAUGAAUGGUCUCAGGAUGUUUUACUGUUGGCAUGACACAGGACUGAUGGUAGCGCUCACCUUGUCUUCUCCGGACAAGCUUUUUUCCGGAUGCCCCAAACAAUCGGAAAAGGGAUUCAUCAGAGAAAAUGACUUUACCCCAGUCCUCAGCAGUCCAAUCCCUGUACCUUUUGCAGAAUAUCAGUCUGUCCCUGAUGUUUUUCCUGGAGAGAAGUGGCUUCUUUGCUGCCCUUCUUGAUACCAGGCCAUCCUCCAAAAGUCUUCGCCUCACUGUGCGUGCAGAUGCACUCACACCUGCCUGCUGCCAUUCCUGAGCAAGCUCUGCACUGGUGGUGCCCCGAUCCCUCAGCUGAAUCAACUUUAGGAGAUGGUCCUGGCUCUUGCUGGACUUUCUUGGGCACCCUGAAGCCUUCUUUACAACAAUUGAACCGCUCUCCUUCUUGAUGAUCCGAUAAAUGGUUGAUUUAGGUGCAAUCUUACUGGCAGCAACAUCCUUUUUGUGCAAAGCAAUGAUGAUGGCACGUGUUUCUUUGCAGGUAACCAUGGUUGACAGAGGAAGAACAAUGAUUCCAAGCCCCACUCUCCUUUUGAAGCUUCCAGUCUGUUAUUCGAAAUCAAUCAGCAUGACAGAGUGAUCUCCAGCCUUGUCCUCGUCAACACUCACACCUGUGUUAACGAGAGAAUCACUGACAUGUCAGCUGGUCCUUUUGUGGCAGGGCUGAAAUGCAGUGGAAAUGUUUUUGGGGGAUUCAGUUCAUUUACAUGGCAAAGAGGGACUUUGCAAUUAAUUGCAAUUCAUCUGAUCACUCUUCAUAACAUUCUGGAGUAUAUGCAAAUUGCCAUCAUACAAACUGAGGCAGCAGACUUUGUGAAAAUUAAUAUUUGUGUCAUUCUCAAAACUUUUGUCCACGACUGUACAUCUUGCUAGUAGGGCUGCUGCUUUCUGGUUCCAGUUUAUCCAAAGGUUCGUUUAUGGACCAGAAAAUGUAGUUUGGAGAGGGGUGGCAGGUCUUGUAUUACAGCAAGUAGGGGGAUUAGGUUUAAAGAAGGCUUUCUUUUUGGUUGAUAGUAGCCAGAUAUUGAUAGUAGCCAGCAAAAUGACAGAUUUGUACCUUGUCAGCUCGGGGAUUUGAACUUGAGAAGUUUCAGUUACUAGCCCAACAUUUUAACCACUAGGCUACCCUGCUGCCCCUGCUGCUGCCAUGGCAGAGCCCAAAUUAAUGGAUGGAGGACGGGUGGCUGAACAUUUGGGGGUGAGGUCGAAAAGGAUUGUCGGACAACUGCUGGGAAGUUGCAGGAAGGCUCUGACAGCAGAGGAGUGGAUUAUGCUCAAGAAGAAAAAGAAAAAAAACAAAAAGACAAGAUGAAGACAUCCCAUUUCCAAGACUCCCAGAGUCAGACAGAAAGGCUUUAUUAGUGGAUUUGAGAGGGUUGGAAGAGGUGGGUUUGGAUGAGGUGAAUGGGAAGGAGUUAUAUAGAUGGUGUGUCAAGGUUUUAAAUAAAGAUACAUUGAAGAAUAGAAAAGACACUCCUUGGAGGGUAAAACUGGGCCUUGAUGACAAGGUAAAGUCAGCAUGGAGAGCACUGUACAAGCCACCGUUACAAAAGGGUACUGGUGAUAUGCAAUGGAGGAUGUUGCAUGGCAUCACUGCAGUUAAUGCUUUUAUAUCUGUUAUUAACUCAGAUGUUGGAGAUGGAUGUCCUUUUUUUUAAUAUAAGAAACUAUUUUUCACUGCUUUAUGGAGUGUGAGAGGAUAAAACCUCUCUUUGAAAUACUAGAGUCUUUGUUUACAACUGUAGGGAAGAUUUUCAAUAACACCGUUUUUAUUUUGGGGUUUCAAUGUAGUAAGCAACAGAAAAUAAACUGUUAUUUUAUUUUGGGACAAGCUAAGAUGUCAAUUUGUCUGAGUAGGAAACAUAAAAUAGACAUGGCAUAUGGGCAGGAUGUAAUGUAAUGUUUUUAAAAGGAUUAGUCAAAGCCAGAGUAAAAGUGGAUUUUGAGUUCAUCUCGGCUGUAAAACAUCUCCCAUUGUUUGAGGAGAAGUGGGCUUAUGAAGGAGCGAUUUGUUUUGUGGAGGAGGGGAAACUAUUUAUUGUUGAUGAAACCAGUUGAAUGCAAAUGAUCUUUUAUUUUAAUUGAAUUAAUUUCUUUUUUUAUAUGUUUCUUUAAGAACAACACAGUUGUUGUGUAAUUUCUGAAAAGGCAGUGUGGCAAUACUUGUUACAGUUUUUCUCAAUUGUUUACACACAAAUACUGGUACUUGAGACACAAUGACCACAACAUGUAACUCAUGCACCAACCCCCUGAACCAAUUCUGCUAAACUACAAGCACAAUUCCUGCUUUACACUCAAAUUGCAGUUCUAAAACACACUUUUUUUCAAAACACUACACACAAUUCUUUGCAUUUGGCACAAUUUUCAUGCAGAAAAUCUCUUGUUUUCACAAUGAACACACUGCCAUUCAAAUAUGCACACUGACUCAUCACAUGGGCAAACACCCGUCACAUAGUUUUACAAUUAGCAAUCAGAGCUUUAGCAUAAAAUGGCAACAGGUGAGCUCUUCUGUUUUGGAGCAAUGGAUGCCAACAUUGGAAACAGAGGCAGAGCCAGAGGAGUGAGAGUAAGAGGAGGAGGACGGGGAGGAUGAGGACGAGGACGAGGAAGGCCAAGGACCGUAAUCUCUGAUGAGAUCCGAGCCACUUUGGUUGAUCAUGUGGUCAAACAUGGUCUAACAAUGAGGGAGGCUGGACAAAGAGUACAGCCAAAUUUGAGCAGGUACACUGUAGCAUCCAUCAUCCGGACAUUCCGAAAUGAGAAUAGGUAAGAAAUCUACUCUCACUAGAAAAUUGCAGUACUGCAUAUCAAUACAGUACUCAAUGAGUACAGUAGUACAGUAUUGCCUGUGGACUGUUCUGUAGGACUGUAAAAAAUAAAGUAUGUUUCAAGUAUUUGGGAAAUGUAUUCCUACUUUGUAUUUACAGUAUUUACUAUUUGUUUGGCAGAACUGAAAGAUUACCAACACAAGGUGGUCAGGAACGUGUUCUGUCUCCUGAACAGGAAACUGAAAUCAUGAACAUGGUCCUAGAAAAUAACGCCAUAACAUUAUGGCAAAUACAAAAGAAAAAUAAUAGAAAACAAUGAGAUAUAUUUCAAAAUAUUGAUAGGGUAAGCUUAUCAACACUGGACCGUGUCUUGCGCAGAAAUAAUCUCAGGACGAAGCAGGUCUACAGGGUGCCAUUUCAACGCAAUUCAGAAAGAGUCAAAGAAUUGCGAUAUAACUAUGUACAAGUGAGUCCUAUACAAUCCCACAAUUGAUGCAUACUCUCAACACUGUAUAAAUUAUACAUAUUUCAGUGUUGUAAUCAUAAUGAUUGUGUUUCACAAUAGUGACCACUCCAUGUCUAUUUCUGAUAUUGUCAUGUGUGUUUCAGAGAGUCCUUGAGUUAGAGGUGGCUGCAGUGGAGCACCAGUUCAUCUUCAUUGAUGAGGUUGGAUUCAACCUCACAAAAAAAAAAGACGAAAGAGGGGAAGGAAUAUCAUCGGCCAGCGUUUCCAUUGUUCAAGUCCCUGGCCAGCGCGGAGGGAACAUCACAAUGUGUGCAGCGAUUACCCACCACGGCGUCAUCCAUCACCAUGCUACCCUUGGCCCCUACAACACCGCCCAUCUGAUCACAUUCCUGGACACCCUACACAACACACUCAUUCCACCAGAUCAGGUAGAUGGCCCAGAGCAGCUCAGGUACGUUGUCAUUUGGGACAAGGUAAGUUUCCACAGGGCUGCUCUGGUUCGUAACUGGUUCACUGCCCAGCCACGCUCUUUAGUUGUUGAUCUCCCUCCAUAUUCUCCAUUCCUACAUCCUAUAGAGGAAUUGUUUUCUGCCUGGAGAUGGAAAGUGUAUGACCGAAAUCCACAAACGCUUAUACCUCUUCUCCAAGCUAUGAAAGACGCAUGUGGAGAUAUAGCAGCUGAUGCUUUUCAUGGCUGGAAUCGCCAUGCUAGGCCAUAUUUCCCCCCGCUACUUGGCCAGGGAAAACAUUGCUUGUGAUGUGGAUGAGGUGCUGUGGCCAGACCGCAACAGAACAGAGGAUGCAGAAUAGUUUUUUUUUCAUUUUUAUUUUUUUACUGUAACUGUAUACAUUAAAUUCUUCUGUUUUGUAUGUAGACCACUGUAUGUGCAACUUUGUGUUGGUUGGGAAUGGGAUGUACAUUGUUUUUGUGGGAAAAAUAAAGUAUAUUUGUUACCGUGUAUUUGUGUGUUCUGAGUAUAAAAACAAUAUUCUCAAAUAUUUUACAACACACUUAUGUAUGUACUGUCUGUAGUGAUGGCAACACUGAACCAAAAAAAGGCCUAAGUCACUAUGAUGAAGUGUUUUCCAUUCAUCAUAGUGUUUUACAUUGAGCACAUCAGUGGUUCUUAUAAAUGUCUAUUCAUAUGAUGGUUUGUGUGUGUCAUUUGAAAACAAAAUACAAUUUUGAUAAGAAAUAACAUUGUUUUGAAUGUAAAGUUUCAUUUUGCUGGAGAAUUGAGGGGUUUUACCCAUUGUGUGUGUGUUUUUUGAUUUUUGUGUAGAGUUCAGAGAAUAUGAUGCAUGCUUUCAGAAAAUGUGUGUAAACAAUCGAGAAAAACUAAUACUUUAGUUUAAAAUAAAGGUUUUAUAAAAACUGUACACUCUCUCUCCCUCUCUUUCUCAUUCUCUCGCUGUCCCUCUCUCUCUCUCUCUUUCUCUACUCUCUCCCUCUUUCUCCCUGUCUUUCUCUCUCUCCCUCUCUUUCUCUCUCUAAGAUAUGAUGCACUACCAGCUCAUCCAAUAAGAGUAUGAUUUUAACAGUACAUGUCUUUCCUUUUUUAUUAUUUGUUUAUUCCACCUUUAUUUAACCAGGUAGGAUAGUUGAGAACAAGUCCUUUAUUCAACCAGGUAGGAUAGUUGAGAACAAGUCCUUU
This 5880-nucleotide long non-coding RNA is filed under the name Salmo salar (Atlantic salmon). RNAcentral describes it as "lncRNA (ENSSSAG00000107633.1)". The record is from RNAcentral. Lineage: Eukaryota; Metazoa; Chordata; Actinopteri; Salmoniformes; Salmonidae.